This 1828-nucleotide long non-coding RNA is filed under the name Homo sapiens (human). Its description in RNAcentral is "long non-coding RNA NONHSAT195295.1". Lineage: Eukaryota; Metazoa; Chordata; Mammalia; Primates; Hominidae. The record is from RNAcentral.
CUUCUGGUGAGAGAAAGCUGAGCAGAAUGGAUCUAAUCUGAUUCCUCCACCCAGAAGCCCUUAAAAUGCAGCUUUGUUUUAAGCCUUCUUGAAGAUUUGGGCUAGAUCUAGAAAAGAACCUCACCACGGAGGAUGUGCAAAGUACAACACGUGACCCCGGAGACGGAAGCUCUUCUCUACCUCCGUAAAGAUGAUCUCUGAUGAACAGACAUGAUCAUGCCUGGAGAACAGGGAUGGACAGUCCCGCUUCUGAAAGACCCUGUCUGGCUGAUGAUUCAUGGUGCGCCGGGCAGACCCCAGGCCAAGAGACCCCACCCACAGUACCUGAGUGCUCAGCUGGGAACCAGACCAGACCUCAAAACAGGUUCCCAAGGUUACCACCCAACCCUGCCAACUUUCGCACCCCGCAAGGAGCAAGACCCCGCCCGCUCACCACCUGCCUGUGCAGCCAACGGGCCUCGCUGAGCUGCCCUGGGCCGCUCCCUCCAUUCACACAGUUGGCCCUCCCUCUCCCUGCCUCCCUUCGCCUACCCCACGAACUACUUCAUCCCUCUGGGCCGGCACUGUAGAAGCCCCAUUGUUCACAUCGACCUCCCAAUUAUCUCCUCUUUCCCUCUCCCUCUGCUCCUGCCCAGACCAGCCCCCCAGCAUUGACCUGGAUGCCUGCCACAGCCUCCUCCCUGGUCUCCGGCCUCCCACCUCUGCUCCUCGGUCUCCUCUACCCAGCCAGUAACUGCAGAGAGCACUAAAGCACAGUCCUGGCAUCUCACCCCCUUAACCCUGGCCACGGCUUCCCAGUGCCUCCAAGAUAAAGCACCAACACCUGAGGACAGCAGGUUGUUUUGAGAGUCCCCUCCAUUGAAACACGCACAUCUAAUUUGUCCUUCAGUUCGCUGGACUCCACGCUGAACGUGCCAUGCUCCAUUGCCCCGUGAGUAACUCCAUGCUCUUGCCGGUUUCACACGGCCUCUCAGAGCUGGAGCCUUUGUUCAGGAGCCCUGGGCAGCUUUCAGGAAGCUCUUGGGCUCAUCAGCUUCCUCUGGCUGAAGCCGCCCCAGUGGAAUCAUGGGGAUUUCUUACUUUGAAGGUGGGGCCACCCGCAGACUGUAACCGGCUGGUUCAAGAUCAAGGACUUCCCCAGGCCACCUGCCUCAGAGGCAAGAAAGGCUCAGCUGAGUCCCAGACACUCCUCGCUGUGGCCCCUCCUUCCUCCCUGCUGGGCAGGCCCCCCUCAAUUCUGUUUGCCAGCAGGGCCUAGUAACACUGAAAGACGAAAAGGGAAAUAAAAUAAACACAAUUAAUAGGCUAAAGGUUACUGAAUAAAGUGGCAGCAGUAAAUAAAUUGACUACUGUGCAAAUACAAAGACAUGAAGACAUGAAACCCCUGCUCUAAAUGACCACUCACCAAGAGCAAGGCCUGGGCUGGAGGCAGGGAGCACCUCCCUAAGGAGCACUCCCUCUUUCCCGGAGUGAGUCCUCCUUCUAGAUGGAAUUCAGUCCGGGUUCCUCUUGAGCCACAGUCCCUGUUGGGGCCUAUCUCAGUGGACUCAAGAUCCUGAACUUCUUCCAGAUUGCUGACUACACAUUUGAGUCACCCAGAGAUUAAAAGAAAAAACAAAUAAUUUCCCAGUGAUCAGGAGUAAAUCAGCUGGGGCAGGGUUGGUGCUAUGAAUGACCACACUGAUUUGUACACUUCACUGAUUUGUAGUGUUUGCUAUUUCCGUCGUGUAAAUACUGCCAACAUGGACAAUCUUCAGUUGCUAAUGGUUUACUAACUGGCUUGUAAAUGAAUUCAUUCAGUAUUCAAGAAAAUGGCACUACAUUUAGA